RNAcentral lists this ribosomal RNA (439 nucleotides) under uncultured bacterium. Its description in RNAcentral is "partial 16S ribosomal RNA". It matches the Rfam family "Bacterial small subunit ribosomal RNA", at positions 338 to 795 of the family's 1533-position model. The record is from RNAcentral.
CCUACGGGUGGCAGCAGUGGGGAAUAUUGCACAAUGGGGGAAACCCUGAUGCAGCGACGCCGCGUGAGUGAAGAAGUAUUUCGGUAUGUAAAGCUCUAUCAGCAGGGAAGAAAAUGACGGUACCUGAUUAAGAAGCCCCGGCUAACUACGUGCCAGCAGCCGCGGUAAUACGUCGGGGGCAAGCGUUAUCCGGAUUUACUGGGUGUAAAGGGUUCGUAGGCGGACUGUUAAGUCAGCGGUAAAAGCCCGGGGCUCAACCCCGGCGAGCCGUUGAAACUGGCUGUCUUGAGAUGUCGAGAGGCAUGCGGAAUGCGCAGUGUAGCGGUGAAAUGCUUAGAUAUUGCGCAGAACUCCGAUUGCGAAGGCAGCAUACCGGCGGCGAUCUGACGCUGAGGCACGAAAGCGUGGGUAUCGAACAGGAUUAGAUACCCGAGUAGUC